Molecule: long non-coding RNA, 249 nt
Organism: Tachyglossus aculeatus (Australian echidna)
Lineage: Eukaryota; Metazoa; Chordata; Mammalia; Monotremata; Tachyglossidae
Exons: 2
Source: RefSeq, a predicted model, not a curated record
UUACUAAAUGCCAUCGUUAUUAUUAUCAGGAACACUCCGCAAAUCCAGAGCCACUCGCUUCAGCUCCGAGCACCUGAGGAUACAGUGAAAGUUGAAAGAAGAACAAGUAUAAGCAAGACACAGGACAGACACCCAAGACAGAAACAGAAUUGGAUGGACAGAUAAAUAUGUAACUAUUAUAUAAAUGACUAAAACAGUGCUGUGCACGCAGCGCUCAAUAAAUACGAUUGAAUGAAUGAAUGAAUACAA